CAACGAGCGCAACCCUUAUCCUUUGUUGCCAGCGAUUAGGUCGGGAACUCAAAGGAGACUGCCAGUGAUAAACUGGAGGAAGGUGGGGAUGACGUCAAGUCAUCAUGGCCCUUACGACCAGGGCUACACACGUGCUACAAUGGCGCAUACAAAGAGAAGCGACCUCGCGAGAGCAAGCGGACCUCAUAAAGUGCGUCGUAGUCCGGAUUGGAGUCUGCAACUCGACUCCAUGAAGUCGGAAUCGCUAGUAAUCGUGGAUCAGAAUGCCACGGUGAAUACGUUCCCGGGCCUUGUACACACCGCCCGUCACACCAUGGGAGUGGGUUGCAAAAGAAGUAGGUAGCUUAACCUUCGGGAGGGCGCUUACCACUUUGUGAUUCAUGACUGGGGUGAAGUCGUAACAAGGUAACCGUAGGGGAACCUGCGGUUGGA
Molecule: ribosomal RNA, 432 nt
Filed under: Salmonella enterica subsp. enterica serovar Virchow
Lineage: Bacteria; Pseudomonadati; Pseudomonadota; Gammaproteobacteria; Enterobacterales; Enterobacteriaceae
Also listed under: 3 other names
Description: partial 16S ribosomal RNA
Rfam family: Bacterial small subunit ribosomal RNA
Source: RNAcentral